This 1031-nucleotide ribosomal RNA is filed under the name Rana dybowskii. RNAcentral describes it as "partial large subunit ribosomal RNA". It matches the Rfam family "Bacterial large subunit ribosomal RNA", at positions 922 to 2607 of the family's 2925-position model. Lineage: Eukaryota; Metazoa; Chordata; Amphibia; Anura; Ranidae. The record is from RNAcentral.
AGCUCACCUUAGUUUUUUUAUUAAACUAAACAAACCCCCAGACUUAAGAGUUAUUCAGAUAAGGCACAGCUUAUUUGAAGUAGGACACAACCUACAACAUAGGGUAAACAAGAGUAACCUGAAUAAAGUGGGCCUAAAAGCAGCCACCUUUAGAAAAGCGUUAAAGCUUAACUUCCUUCACUCAUAAUACCUAAAAUCUUCACUAACCCCUCACUGCUACUGAACAAUUUUAUACCCGUAUAAAAGCUAUAAUGCUAGAACUAGUAACAAGAAACUGCUUUUCUCCUAAAUGUAAACAUAAACCAAAAUAGACUAUCUAAUGGUUAUUAACGUAGAUGCUAAGUUAUAGUAACUCUGCUAGAAAAUCCUAUAAACCCUAACGUUAACCUUACACUAGAACAUUACAGGAAAGAUUAAAAGAAAAAGAAGGAACUCGGCAAAUUUUAGCCUCGCCUGUUUACCAAAAACAUCGCCUCUUGACAAAACAUAAGAGGUCCAGCCUGCCCAGUGACAAAGUUCAACGGCCGCGGUACCCUGACCGUGCGAAGGUAGCAUAAUCACUUGUUCUUUAAAUAGGGACUUGUAUCAACGGCACUACGAAGGCUAUACUGUCUCCUUUUUCUAAUCAGUGAAACUGAUCUCCCCGUGAAGAAGCGGGGAUUAAAGUAUAAGACGAGAAGACCCCAUGGAGCUUUAAACUCACCAUGCACCUCUGUGCUCCUACACCCUUAAACACAAUAGGUCUGCAUGUUAGUUUUAGGUUGGGGUGACCACGGAGUAUAACUUAACCUCCAUAGCAAAUGGGCUAAUACCCUUAUCCACGAGACACAACUCUAAGAAUUAUUAAACUAAUGCUUACGACCCGAUAUUCGAUCAAUGAACUAAGUUACCCUGGGGAUAACAGCGCAAUCUACUUCAAGAGCCCAUAUCGACAAGUAGGUUUACGACCUCGAUGUUGGAUCAGGGUAUCCUGGUGGUGCAGCCGCUACCAACGGUUCGUUUGUUCAACGAAUAAAACCCUACGUGAUCUG